UGAGGUUUUAUCUUAAUUAAAGUGUUUGAGUUGCAUUCAGAUUAUGUAAGAUAGAGUCUUGCAAACCUUA
RNAcentral lists this transfer RNA (70 nucleotides) under Desmognathus marmoratus. RNAcentral's name for it is "tRNA-Ala". It matches the Rfam family "tRNA". Rfam says of the family: Transfer RNA (tRNA) molecules are approximately 80 nucleotides in length. Their secondary structure includes four short double-helical elements and three loops (D, anti-codon, and T loops). Lineage: Eukaryota; Metazoa; Chordata; Amphibia; Caudata; Plethodontidae. The record is from RNAcentral.